Ictalurus punctatus (channel catfish) is the source of this 2223-nucleotide long non-coding RNA. The record is from Ensembl. NCBI's taxonomy places the organism in Eukaryota, Metazoa, Chordata, Actinopteri, Siluriformes, Ictaluridae.
UCCUGGGAGGAAAAAUUUCAAGCUUGUAUAAUCCCAUUUUAUUAGUUUUGUGCUGUUUACAACAGGCAUUGAGACAUUGUAGACAAAUCUGCAUCUAUUCCUCUAAUGAUUAACUGAAAAUGACAUUAAUGAAAAGAAAAAAGAAAGAAGAAAGAUACUGAAUAGAGGAAGAAUGGUGUAAAAAUUGUGAAGGCAGGUUUACAACAUAGGUUCUUGAAUCAUAUAAGAAAUACAAGAGCAAUGAUCGAUGUUAAAAUUUGUUAAGGAGUAACAAACACAUGCUCUUAAGAUGUCAGGUGAUUAUCAGAUAUUUAAGUCAUUUCUGAACAAACAAAAGUGAUUUUAACAUUGUCCUUUUGACAUGUGGGCACAUGACAUCUUGUGGGCAGGGACUAUUUCAUUCCCACUCUGUAAAUGUAUUGUGAUUGAGAGGUGAGGUAGUUGUAGGAGGUUAAUGGGUAGGCUAUGAAGUAUAGUCUUCAGAAAACAGAACAUUUCUAAAUCCCAUUUCUACCAUGGUAAUGGGAGAGAAAAUACAGAUUGCCCAUUGGACGGUGACUCAGAUGGUGUUUGAACACAGGAGGUGUGAAAAAAACGUUGCUCUUUACAGAUAGAAUAUUAUACUUUAAUCGAGCCUUUCAAGGGUUUCAUGUGUCGUCUGUUUUAAUAUGAAUUUAAUAUCAUGUCAUAUGAUUAACUACAUGCAAUCUGUUUCUUUUUUCUUUUUCUUUUUUAAACAAUCUGAUUAAGUAGUUUUAGUAAUGGCAGGAGAUCGGUUAAAGGAAUGGGUUCACCCUGUUUUAAUAGACUAGAGUAGUGGUUGUAGUUGUUGUAGGAGUGGUGGUACGAGUAGUUGGAGUAGUGGUUGGAGUAGUGGUUGAAGUAGUGGUUGGAGUAGGGGUUGUAGUAGUGGUUGUAGUAGUGGUUGAAGUAGUGGUUGGAGUAGGGGUUGGAGUAGUGGUUGGACUAGUGGUUGAAGUAGUGGUUGGAGUAGUGGUUGGAGUAGUGGUAAGACAUGACAUAAUUAUCUGAAUGACAUCAUGAUUGGUUAAAUAUGGGUCACAUGUUAUUAGACGAGUAGUGGUUGGAGUAGUGGUUGGAGUAGUGGUUGGAGUAGUGGUUGGGGUAGUGGUUGGAGUGGUGGUUGGAGUGGUGGUUGGAGUGGUGGUUGGAGUGGUGGUUGGAGUGGUGGGAUGAGUGGUGGUUGUGGAGGAAGAGUGGUGGUUAUAGUGGUGGGAUGAUGUUGUAGUGGUGGUCUGAGCGGUGGGACAAGUGGUGGGAUGAGUGGUGGUUGUAUUGGUGGGACGAUUGGUGGUUGUAAUGAUGGGAUGAGUGGUAGUUUCACUGGUAGUAUAAAUGGUGAUUGUAGCUAUAGGACUAGUUGUGGUUGUUGUGAAAGGAUAAGUAGUGGUUUUAGAGUUGGGAUGAGUGGUGGUUGGAGUGGUAGGAAGAGCGGUAGUUGUAGUGGUGGGACAAGAAUUGGGUGUAAUAUUUCAGUCACACAUUAUACCUGGUUAUUAUGACACAUCAGGUUUACAAGAUUAAAAAGAAUAGCUGAUGAGGAAAAAGAGGCCAAAUGAAAGACCAAAGCGGAGAAAUGAAGUCAGAGUUAUAGGACUUUGAUGAAAGAAAGAAGAGGCGGCAUUGUGGUGUGUUGGGGGCUUAGCAUGAGGAUGAGUUUUAGGACGAGUGGUGGUUGUUGUAGUGGGACGAGUGGUGGUUGUUGUGGUAGUGGUGGUUGUAGUGGUAGGACGAAUGGUGGUUGUAGUAGUGGGACGAGGGGUGGCAUUGGUAGGACGAGUGAUAGUUUUAGUGGGGGGAUGAGUGGUGGUUGUAAUAGUAGGAUGAGUGGUGGCAGUGGUAGGACGAGUACUGGCUGUAGUGGUGGUUGCGGUGGUAGGACUUGUUGGUGUAGGAGUUGAACUUGAUAUGGCUGUAUGGAGGCAUUAUUGUUAGUAUUUUUAAAAUAUGUUAAUGAUAAUCAAAACUCCAAAAAAAAUAUUAUAUGCGCUUUCACGCAUGCUUACCUUGUGUGAAUUUAGGGUUGAAUACAAGGCCAUUUAUUACACUGUUGUCAGCAAGCGCAUUCAUAAACAGGGCUUUGAUCACCUCAGCGUCGAUUUGGUUUGACUGGAACACGAGUGUAGCCUUUACAAGCACGGUUCCAGUUUGAUUACUGAAGAUACGGAAAGUGCUUUGUGUUUAGGUGUGCAUACAAAAACC